This 439-nucleotide ribosomal RNA is filed under the name uncultured bacterium. RNAcentral describes it as "bacterial SSU rRNA". It matches the Rfam family "Bacterial small subunit ribosomal RNA", at positions 958 to 1397 of the family's 1533-position model. The record is from RNAcentral.
AACGCGAAGAACCUUACCUGGGCUUGAAGUGCACCGGACCAUCCUUGGAAACAGGGACUUCCCGCAAGGGACUGGUGUAGAGGUGCUGCAUGGCUGUCGUCAGCUCGUGCCGUGAGGUGUUGGGUUAAGUCCCGCAACGAGCGCAACCCUUACUCGUAGUUGCCACCCGCAAGGGGGAACUCUACGAGGACUGCUCCGGAUAACGGAGAGGAAGGUGGGGAUGAGGUCAAGUCAGCAUGGCCUUUAUGUCCAGGGCUACACACGUGUUACAAUGCGCGCUACAAAGCGUCGCGAACCCGCGAGGGGGAGCUAAUCGCAAAAAAGCGCGCUCAGUUCGGAUUGCAGUCUGCAACUCGACUGCAUGAAGCCGGAAUCGCUAGUAAUGGCGCAUCAGAACGGCGCCGUGAAUACGUUCCCGGGCCUUGUACACACCGAUAGC